GGGUUGUUACUGGGAGCACUGGGAGGGUGCUGGGGGAUCACUGGGGUGUUACUGGGAGCACUGGGAGGGUGCUGGGGGGUCACUGGGGUGUUACUGGGAGCACUGGGAGGGUCACUGGUGUCACUGGGGGGGUGUCACCGGUGCCCCUCCCCCCCAGGUUCGAGCAGGAGGUUUUGGGGGCUCCAGGCCCCACCCCCGGGGACCCGCUGGCCCCGCCCCCCAUCCUGCAGCCAAUCAUCGCCACCAACACCUACCAGCAGGUCAGCAGCGACAUCCUUGGAGGAGCCUCAGGAUUGCUCCCUGCAGUGAUCCCUGCUCCACCCUUGGAAUCCAGAGCAAAAUCCCAGGGAAUGCUCCGUGCCUGCAGCUCUCCCGCUCUGGGCUGUGCCUCCUCCACACAGCUUCUCCUGGGAAGUUCUCUGCAGCCCAGCACAGGAGGAUCCAGCUCUGCUCGCGGCCCUCUGCUCCUGGAGUCGUCGAGGAGCAGCUGCAACAAUUCCCCGAGUCCCA
Pseudopipra pipra is the source of this 510-nucleotide long non-coding RNA. RefSeq lists it as uncharacterized. NCBI's taxonomy places the organism in Eukaryota, Metazoa, Chordata, Aves, Passeriformes, Pipridae. The transcript has 2 exons. The record is from RefSeq and is a predicted model, not a curated record.